Molecule: ribosomal RNA, 488 nt
Filed under: uncultured bacterium
Lineage: Bacteria
Description: partial 16S ribosomal RNA
Rfam family: Bacterial small subunit ribosomal RNA
Source: RNAcentral
GACGAACGCUGGCGGCGUGCUUAACACAUGCAAGUCGAACGGAAAGGCCCUGCUUUUGUGGGGUGCUCGAGUGGCGAACGGGUGAGUAACACGUGAGUAACCUGCCCUUGACUUUGGGAUAACUUCAGGAAACUGGGGCUAAUACCGGAUAGGAGCUCCUGCUGCAUGGUGGGGGUUGGAAAGUUUCGGCGGUUGGGGAUGGACUCGCGGGUUAUCAGCUUGUUGGUGGGGUAGUGGCUUACCAAGGCUUUGACGGGUAGCCGGCCUGAGAGGGUGACCGGCCACAGGGGAACUGAGACACGGUACAGACGACUACGGGAGGCAGCAGUGGGGAAGAGUGGACAAUGGGGGCAAGCGUGAUCCAGCCAUACCGCGUGGGUGAAGAAGGCCUUCGGGUUGUAAAGCCCUUUUGUUGGGAAAGAAAAGCAGCAGGUUAAUACCCCGCUGUUCUGACGGUACCCAAAGAAUAAGCACCGGCUAACUUCGUG